UACGAAGGGGGCUAGCGUUGUUCGGAAUUACUGGGCGUAAAGCGCACGUAGGCGGACAUUUAAGUCAGGGGUGAAAUCCCGGGGCUCAACCCCGGAACGGCCUUUGAUACUGGGUGUCUUGAGUUCGGAAGAGGUGAGUGGAAUUGCGAGUGUAGAGGUGAAAUUCGUAGAUAUUCGCAGGAACACCAGUGGCGAAGGCGGCUCACUGGCC
This 211-nucleotide ribosomal RNA is filed under the name uncultured bacterium. RNAcentral describes it as "partial 16S ribosomal RNA". It matches the Rfam family "Bacterial small subunit ribosomal RNA", at positions 524 to 734 of the family's 1533-position model. The record is from RNAcentral.